AUACAUGCAGUCGAGCGAACUUUUGGGAGCUUGCUCCCAAAAGUUAGCGGCGGACGGGUGAGUAACACGUGGGCAACCUGCCUAUAAGACUGGGAUAACUUCGGGAAACCGGAGCUAAUACCGGAUAACAUAUGAGACCACAUGGUCUCAUAUUAAAAGAUGGCUUUUAGCUAUCACUUAUAGAUGGGCCCGCGGCGCAUUAGCUAGUUGGUGAGGUAAUGGCUCACCAAGGCGACGAUGCGUAGCCGACCUGAGAGGGUGAUCGGCCACACUGGGACUGAGACACGGCCCAGACUCCUACGGGAGGCAGCAGUAGGGAAUCUUCCGCAAUGGACGAAAGUCUGACGGAGCAACGCCGCGUGAGCGAAGAAGGUCUUCGGAUCGUAAAGCUCUGUUGUUAGGGAAGAACAAGUACCGUUCGAAUAGGGCGGUACCUUGACGGUACCUAACCAGAAAGCCACGGCUAACUACGUGCCAGCAGCCGCGGUAAUACGUAGGUGGCAAGCGUUAUCCGGAAUUAUUGGGCGUAAAGCGCGCGCAGGCGGUCCUUUAAGUCUGAUGUGAAAGCCCACGGCUCAACCGUGGAGGGUCAUUGGAAACUGGGGGACUUGAGUGCAGAAGAGGAGAGCGGAAUUCCACGUGUAGCGGUGAAAUGCGUAGAGAUGUGGAGGAACACCAGUGGCGAAGGCGGCUCUCUGGUCUGUAACUGACGCUGAGGCGCGAAAGCGUGGGGAGCGAACAGGAUUAGAUACCCUGGUAGUCCACGCCGUAAACGAUGAGUGCUAAGUGUUAGAGGGUUUCCGCCCUUUAGUGCUGCAGCAAACGCAUUAAGCACUCCGCCUGGGGAGUACGGUCGCAAGACUGAAACUCAAAGGAAUUGACGGGGGCCCGCACAAGCGGUGGAGCAUGUGGUUUAAUUCGAAGCAACGCGAAGAACCUUACCAGGUCUUGACAUCCCGUGACACUCUAGAGAUAGGGCUUUCCCCUUCGGGGGACACGGUGACAGGUGGUGCAUGGUUGUCGUCAGCUCGUGUCGUGAGAUGUUGGGUUAAGUCCCGCAACGAGCGCAACCCUUGAUCUUAGUUGCCAGCAUUUAGUUGGGCACUCUAAGGUGACUGCCGGUGACAACCGAGGAAGGUGGGGAUGACGUCAAAUCAUCAUGCCCCUUAUGACCUGGGCUACACACGUGCUACAAUGGAUGGUACAAAGGG
RNAcentral lists this ribosomal RNA (1211 nucleotides) under Bacillus sp. (in: firmicutes). RNAcentral's name for it is "bacterial SSU rRNA". It matches the Rfam family "Bacterial small subunit ribosomal RNA", at positions 51 to 1246 of the family's 1533-position model. The record is from RNAcentral. Lineage: Bacteria; Bacillati; Bacillota; Bacilli; Caryophanales; Bacillaceae.